Triticum aestivum (bread wheat) is the source of this 135-nucleotide non-coding RNA. The record is from Rfam. Lineage: Eukaryota; Viridiplantae; Streptophyta; Magnoliopsida; Poales; Poaceae.
GUGGUACUCCCUUCGUCCGAAAAUACUUGUCAUCAAAAUGGAUAAAAGGGUAUGUAUCUAGAACUAAAAUACAUCUACAUACAUCCCUUUUUAUUCAUCUUGAUGACAAGUAUUUCCAGACGGAGGGAGUAUGCA